CUGAGUGAGGGCUCACCGCCCGACCUCCAACCCAUUGUAAUCCGACUCUGUUGCCUCGGGGGGCGACCCGGCCUUCGGGCGUUGGGGCCCCCGGUGGACCACUCAACUCUGCAUCUUUGCGUCUGAGUAAUAGAUUGAAUAAAUCA
RNAcentral lists this unclassified non-coding RNA (146 nucleotides) under uncultured Ascomycota. RNAcentral describes it as "sequence contains ITS1". Lineage: Eukaryota; Fungi; Ascomycota. The record is from RNAcentral.